AUAGUUUGUUAUUUCUCCAAAACUUAGUAUAAUGAGUCCUGUUUAUUGUAUAAUGUGCUUAUGUAUUUUAUUUAUGUGUUUUCUCAUCCAUGCAGACCCUGGUAUCUCCUUAAAAAGUACACCUGCCUUUGAUUCACAUAAAGACUUAAUGGAGCUUAAACAAAUCAAUGUUCAAAUACUCACAGAAAAAACUAAAGUGGAAAAUGAAUUAUCUGAAGUCAAAGAAGAGAACUCACAGUUAGAGAAAAAGCUUGUAAGAAAGAAUGAAAGAAUCUUUAAGCUGAGAUCAAUCAUAAAAGAGCAAGCAGAGAAGAAAAGAAAUAUAAUUUGUGCCUAUAAUGAGAUUGUGGAGGAACUGAGAGAAAAAGAAGAGAUGAUUGAGAGAAGAGGAGAACAAUACAACAGACAAGUUACUGAAACACAUGAACUUGAAAUAUGUUUGAAAACAAGAGAUAUGGAGUUGAAGCAGG
This 470-nucleotide long non-coding RNA is filed under the name Cricetulus griseus (Chinese hamster). RNAcentral describes it as "lncRNA (ENSCGRG00000025845.1)". The record is from RNAcentral. Lineage: Eukaryota; Metazoa; Chordata; Mammalia; Rodentia; Cricetidae.